Molecule: long non-coding RNA, 207 nt
Filed under: Lathyrus oleraceus (garden pea)
Lineage: Eukaryota; Viridiplantae; Streptophyta; Magnoliopsida; Fabales; Fabaceae
Description: Pisum sativum (pea) long non-coding RNA (PSAT_LNC026910)
Source: RNAcentral
UCUCACUUGUUUGGGUAAGUCUUUGACCUUUAGGUGAGUGAUUGACCCAAUGUGUAUGAUUCUCCCUCAUGAUGACCCAUCAAUACCAAUUGUUGGGGAAAAUAACAAAAGAAACAAAUUUCUACCCACGUGGAAGCAUACCCACAAAAAGGAAAAAAAACAAAAAAAUUCAAAAACAAAAUUCACAAAUUCAUUAUUCAACUUCAA